This 744-nucleotide ribosomal RNA is filed under the name Harringtonia lauricola. RNAcentral's name for it is "Raffaelea lauricola partial large subunit ribosomal RNA". It matches the Rfam family "Eukaryotic large subunit ribosomal RNA", at positions 127 to 894 of the family's 3401-position model. The record is from RNAcentral. Lineage: Eukaryota; Fungi; Ascomycota; Sordariomycetes; Ophiostomatales; Ophiostomataceae.
CCCCCGCGGGCCCGAGUUGUACUUUGGAGAGGACGCUUCUGGCGCGGCGCCGUCCGAGUUCCCUGGAACGGGACGCCGGAGAGGGUGAGAGCCCCGUACGGGCGGCCGCCUAGCCUCUGCGAAGCUCCUUCGACGAGUCGAGUAGUUUGGGAAUGCUGCUCAAAAUGGGAGGUAAAUUUCUUCUAAAGCUAAAUACCGGCCAGAGACCGAUAGCGCACAAGUAGAGUGAUCGAAAGAUGAAAAGCACUUUGAAAAGAGGGUCAAACAGUACGUGAAAUUGUUGAAAGGGAAGCGCCUGUGGCCAGACUUGCGCCCCGCGGACCACCCGGCGCCUCGCGCGCCGGGGCACGCCAGCGGGGCGCAGGCCAGCAUCGGCUCUCUCGGGGGGACAAAGGCCGCGGGAACGUAGCGCCCUCGCGGCGUAUUAUAGCCCGCGGCGCCAUGCCCCCGGGGGGGCCGAGGACCGCGCUCCGGCAAGGAUGCUGGCGUAAUGGCCACCGGCGACCCGUCUUGAAACACGGACCAAGGAGUCAAGCAUUGGGGCGAGUGUCUGGGUGGCAAGCCCGCACGCGGAAUGAAAGUGAACGCAGGUGGGAGCUUCGGCGCACCACCGACCGAUCCUGAUGUCCUCGGAUGGAUUUGAGUAGGAGCCCCGCCGCUUGGACCCGAAAGAUGGUGAACUAUGCCUGUAUAGGGUGAAGCCAGAGGAAACUCUGGUGGAGGCCCGCAGCGGUUCUGACGUGC